RNAcentral lists this ribosomal RNA (898 nucleotides) under bacterium A-S-20. RNAcentral describes it as "bacterial SSU rRNA". It matches the Rfam family "Bacterial small subunit ribosomal RNA", at positions 8 to 916 of the family's 1533-position model. The record is from RNAcentral.
AGAGUUUGAUCCUGGCUCAGGACGAACGCUGGCGGCGUGCUUAACACAUGCAAGUCGAACGAUGAAGCCCAGCUUGCUGGGUGGAUUAGUGGCGAACGGGUGAGUAACACGUGAGCAACGUGCCCAUAACUCUGGGAUAACCUCCGGAAACGGUGGCUAAUACUGGAUAUCUAACAUGAUCGCAUGGUCUGUGUUUGGAAAGAUUUUUUGGUUAUGGAUCGGCUCACGGCCUAUCAGCUUGUUGGUGAGGUAAUGGCUCACCAAGGCGACGACGGGUAGCCGGCCUGAGAGGGUGACCGGCCACACUGGGACUGAGACACGGCCCAGACUCCUACGGGAGGCAGCAGUGGGGAAUAUUGCACAAUGGGCGAAAGCCUGAUGCAGCAACGCCGCGUGAGGGAUGACGGCCUUCGGGUUGUAAACCUCUUUUAGUAGGGAAGAAGCGAAAGUGACGGUACCUGCAGAAAAAGCACCGGCUGACUACGUGCCAGCAGCCGCGGUAAUACGUAGGGUGCAAGCGUUGUCCGGAAUUAUUGGGCGUAAAGAGCUCGUAGGCGGUUUGUCGCGUCUGCUGUGAAAUCCCGAGGCUCAACCUCGGGUCUGCAGUGGGUACGGGCAGACUAGAGUGUGGUAGGGGAGAUUGGAAUUCCUGGUGUAGCGGUGGAAUGCGCAGAUAUCAGGAGGAACACCGAUGGCGAAGGCAGAUCUCUGGGCCAUUACUGACGCUGAGGAGCGAAAGCAUGGGGAGCGAACAGGAUUAGAUACCCUGGUAGUCCAUGCCGUAAACGUUGGGCGCUAGAUGUGGGGACCAUUCCACGGUUUCCGUGUCGUAGCUAACGCAUUAAGCGCCCCGCCUGGGGAGUACGACAGCAAGGCUAAAACUCAAAGGAAUUGACGG